Molecule: ribosomal RNA, 492 nt
Filed under: uncultured bacterium
Lineage: Bacteria
Description: partial 16S ribosomal RNA
Rfam family: Bacterial small subunit ribosomal RNA
Source: RNAcentral
AGUGAACGCUGGCGGUAGGCCUAACACAUGCAAGUCGAACGGCAGCACAGUAAGAGCUUGCUCUUACGGGUGGCGAGUGGCGGACGGGUGAGGAAUACAUCGGAAUCUACUUUUUCGUGGGGGAUAACGUAGGGAAACUUACGCUAAUACCGCAUACGACCUACGGGUGAAAGCAGGGGAUCUUCGGACCUUGCGCGAUUGAAUGAGCCGAUGUCGGAUUAGCUAGUUGGCGGGGUAAAGGCCCACCAAGGCGACGAUCCGUAGCUGGUCUGAGGGGAUGGUCAGCCAAGCUGGAACUGAGACACGGUCCAGACUCCUACGGGAGGCAGCAGUGGGGAAUAUUGGACAAUGGGCGCAAGCCUGAUCCAGCCAUACCGCGUGGGUGAAGAAGGCCUUCGGGUUGUAAAGCCCUUUUGUUGGGAAAGAAAAGCAGCAGGUUAAUACCCCGCUGUUCUGACGGUACCCAAAUAAUAAGCACCGGCUAACUUCGUG